GACGAACGCUGGCGGCGUGCUUAACACAUGCAAGUCGAGCGGUAAGGCCCUGCGGGGGACGCGAGCGGCGAACGGGAGCGUAACAGGAGCGUAAGCUGCCCCUCACUUCGGGAUAACUCCGGGAAACCGGAGCUAAUACCAAAUCUGACCACUUCAGGCUUCUGCUGGUGGUGGGAAGUUACGGCGGUGAUGGAUGGGCUCGCGGCCUAUCAGCUUGUUGGUGGGGUAGUGGCGUACCAAGGCUUGGACGGGUAGCCGGCCUGAGAGGGUGACCGGCCACACUGGGACUGAGACACGGCCCAGACUCCUACGGGAGGCAGCAGUGGGGAAUAUUGGACAAUGGGCGGAAGCCUGAUCCAGCAACGCCGCGUGAGGGAUGACGGCCUUCGGGUUGUAAACCGCUUUCAGCUGUGACGAAGCGUGAGUGACGGUACCGGCAGAAGAAGCACCGGCUAACUACGUG
Molecule: ribosomal RNA, 463 nt
Filed under: uncultured bacterium
Lineage: Bacteria
Description: partial 16S ribosomal RNA
Rfam family: Bacterial small subunit ribosomal RNA
Source: RNAcentral